UCGUCGACGGCGCCCGGCGCGAUGAAGUGGACGUGGGUGUCGAUUCCGCCCGCGGUGACGAUCUUGCCGUUGCCCGCGACGAUCUCCGUCUCGGGGCCGAUGACGAGGUCGGGGUGGACACCGUCCAUGGUGUCCGGGUUCCCGGCCUUGCCGAUGCCGGUGAUCCGUCCGUCGCGGAUGCCGAUGUCGGCCUUGACGAUCCCCCAGUGAUCGAUGAUCAGGGCUCCGGUGAUCACGGUGUCGGGAGCACCCUGGGCACGGGUGGUGCGCCCCUGCCCCAUGGACUCGCGCAG
Streptomyces coelicolor A3(2) is the source of this 293-nucleotide small RNA. It matches the Rfam family "5' ureB small RNA". The record is from Rfam. NCBI's taxonomy places the organism in Bacteria, Bacillati, Actinomycetota, Actinomycetes, Kitasatosporales, Streptomycetaceae.